CCUACGGGAGGCUGCAGUGGGGAAUAUUGGACAAUGGGGGCAACCCUGAUCCAGCCAUGCCGCGUGUGUGAAGAAGGCCCUCGGGUUGUAAAGCACUUUCAGUGAGGAAGAACGCCUGGUGGUUAAUACCCAUCAGGAAAGACAUCACUCACAGAAGAAGCACCGGCUAACUCCGUGCCAGCAGCCGCGGUAAUACGGAGGGUGCGAGCGUUAAUCGGAAUUACUGGGCGUAAAGCGCGCGUAGGUGGCUUGAUAAGCCGGUUGUGAAAGCCCCGGGCUCAACCUGGGAACGGCAUCCGGAACUGUCAAGCUAGAGGGCAGGAGAGGAAGGAAGAAUUCCCGGGGAGGCGGGGAAAUGCGUAGAGAUGGGAAGGAAAACAGUGGGCGAAGGCGGCCUCCUGGACUGACACUGACACUGAGGUGCGAAAGCUUGGGUAGCAAACGGGUUAGAUACCCUUGUAGUC
RNAcentral lists this ribosomal RNA (464 nucleotides) under Vreelandella stevensii. Its description in RNAcentral is "partial 16S ribosomal RNA". It matches the Rfam family "Bacterial small subunit ribosomal RNA", at positions 338 to 795 of the family's 1533-position model. The record is from RNAcentral. Lineage: Bacteria; Pseudomonadati; Pseudomonadota; Gammaproteobacteria; Oceanospirillales; Halomonadaceae.